CCAGGUGGGAUUUUAUUUAAUUUACGUGAGGGGGUCGGUGACACGGUGUACUCCUUUUCCCAAAUUCCUCUUUUCUUUUUUUUUCCAGAUCACACCUUUGUUGUCCCCCAUACAGUACUGUAUUUCAUUACCCCACUUUUUAUAAUUCUAUAUCCAACUUCCCCACUUUUGGUAAUCUCGUCCCACCACAUCCCACUAUAUCCAAUUUCGAUACUUGCAAGAUUCAUUUGCGAAAUAUAAUUAAAUUUAAUUAGUUAGACAUGCAAUUGUAAAGACCUUUCUCAACUACUCUUUCAUUGAAAAUCUUUUCCAACAUUUAUACAGCUGUAGCGAG
RNAcentral lists this long non-coding RNA (334 nucleotides) under Mytilus galloprovincialis (Mediterranean mussel). The record is from RNAcentral. Lineage: Eukaryota; Metazoa; Mollusca; Bivalvia; Mytilida; Mytilidae.